UACGUAGGUGGCAAGCGUUGUCCGGAUUUACUGGGCGUAAAGAGCGCGCAGGCGGUCGUUCAAGUCGCGUGUGAAAGCCCCCGGCUCAACUGGGGAGGGUCACACGAUACUGAUCGACUCGAAGGCAGGAGAGGGUAGUGGAAUUCCCGGUGUAGUGGUGAAAUGCGUAGAGAUGUGGAGGAAUACCGAUGGCGAAGGCAGCCCCCUGGGCCAAUACUGACGCUCAUGCACGAAAGCGUGGGGAGCAAACAGG
Molecule: ribosomal RNA, 253 nt
Filed under: uncultured bacterium
Lineage: Bacteria
Description: partial 16S ribosomal RNA
Rfam family: Bacterial small subunit ribosomal RNA
Source: RNAcentral